AUAACUACGAGUGAAAGCUUAAAAUUUAAAAGACUUGACGGUACUUCACAUCAAUCUAGAGGAGCCUGUCCAAUAACCGAUAAUCCACGAUUAACCCAACCUCCUCUAGCCUAACAGUCUAUAUACCGCCGUCGCCAGCUUACCUUGUAAAAGAAACAAAGCAAGCCUAACAACACUACCUCUCUAACACGACAGGUCGAGGUGUAACUAAUGAAGAGGACAAGAUGGGCUACAUUUUCUAAGCUAGAAAAAACGAAUAAACCAUGAAAUUAGAAACUGAAGGCGGAUUUAGAAGUAAGCUAAGAAUAGAACACUUAACCGAAAUUAACGCAAUGAAGUGCGCACACACCGCCGGUCA
This 358-nucleotide ribosomal RNA is filed under the name Micrurus diutius (Trinidad ribbon coral snake). Its description in RNAcentral is "partial 12S ribosomal RNA". The record is from RNAcentral. Lineage: Eukaryota; Metazoa; Chordata; Lepidosauria; Squamata; Elapidae.